This 560-nucleotide small RNA is filed under the name Pan troglodytes (chimpanzee). RNAcentral describes it as "sense intronic". Lineage: Eukaryota; Metazoa; Chordata; Mammalia; Primates; Hominidae. The record is from RNAcentral.
CUUUUUUAUGGCUGCAUAGUAUUCCAUGGUAUAUACGUACCACUUUUUGAUUAUCCAGUCUACCAUUGAUGGGCACCUGGAUUGAUUCCAUGCUUUGCUAUUGUGAAUAGUGCUUUGAUAAACACAGGAGUGCAGGCAUCUUUUUGGUAGAAUGGGUUCUUUUCCUCUGUUUUCCCCCUAAUCUUGAGAUACUUAUACUUUAGCCCCGAAAGGCAAACUCAAGAGGCAAGGUCUGUAGGUUUACCACACACUGAUUUACCUGCCUAAGAGAAGCAGUGUUCUACCUAGCAUUGUGAUUCUCCUGCCUCAGCCUCCUGAGUAGCUGGGAUUACAGGCAUGCACCACCAUGCCUGGCUAAAUUUUUUUUUGUAUUUUUAGUAGAGGUGGGGCUUCACUGUUGGUCAGGCUGGCCUCGAACUCCUGACCUUGUGCUCCGCAUGCCUCAGCCUCCCAAAGAGCUGGGAUUAAAGGCGUGAGCUACUGCGCCUGGCCUUUAGGUACUAUAUUUGUAUCUGUGCUUUAUACAUAAAGAGUGAGAUUUUGCACAGCUCCUCACCAAG